AGCCUGAUAAUGUCAGGUUGUCAGGGGGAAGCAGUCACUGCGAUGGCACGUUAGAGAUGAAACAAUGUGGAUAGUGGAGACCAGUGACUAGCAUCGUCUCUGGAUGGGACCAGAAGUUAGCAUCUGUUCGCAUGUAAACAACUCAACUGUGGUUCUGUUGUUUCAAAAAAAAACAGAGAAACUACAUAUAAUCCUGCCUGGCAGAUCAGCGAGACCUGUGUUCAGUCUGAUUCUAUACACCUGCUGCGGGAGUGUUUGAUGAUGCCUGGUGGAUUCCAGCUGCUCAUCAGUCUGGAGGUGAUCUGCUCAGAUUUUCUGGCUCAGCCAAACAUCUCCUUCUCCCCUCACAUUGACGGGUUGUCCGAGAACAAGCAGCUUCAGGUGCUGCUGGGCUCCAGUUUCACCAUCAGCUGCUCCAUCCUGCCCCAGCAUCCAGGAGGCUCUUUCCAGCUUAUUUUGACCAACUCUGCAACAUCACAGAACUACACCCUGCCAGCUGUCAAUCACUCUGCCCACUUCCUGUUCUCUGCCGCAGACCACACCCACCGAGGGGACUACAGCUGUGUUUAUCACGUCUACGUUUUCUCCCAUAAAUUCACCUCGGAGAGCCGCCGUCUCUAUGUUGCUGUCGCAGCCUCUUUAACAGAUCUGAUCAUCAGGCUGGCACUCAUAGUGCUGAUGGUGGCGUUCAGUGCGGCCAUGUUUUUCUACUACAAGGCCAGCAGAAGGCCAAGACGAGAAGACAACAUUGAGCUUGAUUACCUUGGUGGUGCUCAAGAUGGAAACGGUGGAGCCGAAGAGGCAGGAGGCGAGGGACCAUAG
RNAcentral lists this long non-coding RNA (822 nucleotides) under Sparus aurata (gilthead seabream). RNAcentral's name for it is "lncRNA (ENSSAUG00010002430.1)". The record is from RNAcentral. Lineage: Eukaryota; Metazoa; Chordata; Actinopteri; Spariformes; Sparidae.